RNAcentral lists this ribosomal RNA (497 nucleotides) under uncultured bacterium. RNAcentral describes it as "partial 16S ribosomal RNA". It matches the Rfam family "Bacterial small subunit ribosomal RNA", at positions 28 to 507 of the family's 1533-position model. The record is from RNAcentral.
GAUGAACGCUGGCGGCGUGCCUAAUACAUGCAAGUCGAGCGAACAGACGAUGAGCUUGCUCCUCUGACGUUAGCGGCGGACGGGUGAGUAACACGUGUAUAACCUACCUAUAAGUCUGGGAUAACUUCGGGACACCGGAGCUAAUACCGGAUAAUAUAUUGAACCGCAUGGUUCAAUAGUGAAAGACGGCUUUGCUGUCACUUAUAGAUGGAUCCGCGCCGCAUUAGCUAGUUGGUACGGUAACGGCUUACCAAGGCGACGAUGCGUAGCCGACCUGAGAGGCGGAUAGGCGACACUGGAACUGAGACACGGUCCAGACUCCUACGGGAGGCAGCAGUAGGGAAUGUGACGCAGUGGGCGAGAGCAUGACGGAGCAACGCCGAGUGAGUGAUGAAGGUCUUCGGAUCGUAAAACUCUGUUAUGAGGGAAGAACAAAUGUGUAAGUAACCAUGCACGUCUUGACGGUAACUAAUCAGAAAGCAACGGCUAACUACGUG